AUGAUCAUGCAAAGCAAUAUGACAAUAAUGGAGCGUGUCAUAAUAAACGGAAUGAUGGAAAGUUGCAUGAUCAAGCGGAUGGUGAAUGCAUGUCCGCGGCUUGAAGUGAUCAAACGAUCCGUUUGCAUUGAGGGUGCCCGCCGGACCUUUGCCCGUGCGAAGGUGCAUUGGGGCAAGCUGGAUGCGGAGAAGCUGGUGAAGGACGGGCCGCUGGAGGGCAAGGCGCAUCGCUGUCCCGAGAGAUAUUAUGAAGGCGUUAUGAAGGGCGCUCGUCUUGUGGCCGAUGAAUGUACCAAGGACACAAUUUUAGAGAAUUCACUUAUGUCAUGUUUGUAA
Molecule: ribosomal RNA, 336 nt
Filed under: Triticum aestivum (bread wheat)
Lineage: Eukaryota; Viridiplantae; Streptophyta; Magnoliopsida; Poales; Poaceae
Description: partial small subunit ribosomal RNA
Source: RNAcentral